Molecule: long non-coding RNA, 884 nt
Organism: Salvia miltiorrhiza (redroot sage)
Lineage: Eukaryota; Viridiplantae; Streptophyta; Magnoliopsida; Lamiales; Lamiaceae
Exons: 5
Source: RefSeq, a predicted model, not a curated record
GCAAAGUACAGUGAGAUCCGUAUUACAAACUUCACCAGAAUGUCCAGAGAUUAAACAUAUGGAGCAAAGAUCCUAUGAAACUUAUGAUCCAUUAAGGAUAACAACAUCAAAAAUGAUUCAAAAAAUGACACAUGCAAAGGAAGUGACGUUGAAAGACCUUAAAGAAAAUCAGCAUAUGCUGGUGAAGGAAUCUUACUAUUGUUUUAUGGGAAUAGUUCAAGAGGUCGAAAAUAAAGCAUCAAUAUGAUAUAAUUCCUGUAAAACGUGCUCAACAUCAUGCCCAAAGAAUGUUGAAACUACAAUAUGCAAAAAAUGCAAUGAGGAGAUUGUUGAGACAACACCGAGGUUUAGAAUAACCUUAAAUGUCAUACAAGGAGAUUAUGAUGCAAAUAUUACAAUGUUCGAUGAGGUUACAGCAGUAUAUGUAGGAUGCUCAGUGGAUGAGUAUAUUUCAUCAAUCAGUCACGAUGAAAACGAUUCUGCAUACUAUAGAGGUCUGGCCGCUCCAAAUUCAACAGAAAUGCGGUUUAUGACUACUAUAAAGCAUGCAAAACUCGAUGAUAGGGGAAAGCUAAAUCUUAUAGCAAGUGCAAUCCAAAAGAUAGAAUGUGACCCGAUGAAUGCUGUAAUGAAAUCGAUGGUAACAUCAAUUGAAGAAACAAAAGAUCAUGAAGAAGGAAGGGAAGAAAUAGUUAAGAAGGCACCCAAGACAAAACAAAAAAAGGGAAAGAAAAAAAUAGGGAAGAAGGCCAUGUCAAAUGAAGUGGGAGAAAUAAAAAAAAACAACUAAAAAGACCAAGCAAACUGGAGCGGCAGAGUUACAAGUGCAGCCUCAUGAAGUGCAAGGAAAGGGAAAACGAAAAAUCACAAAAAACGUUCUUCAU